RNAcentral lists this ribosomal RNA (485 nucleotides) under uncultured bacterium. Its description in RNAcentral is "bacterial SSU rRNA". It matches the Rfam family "Bacterial small subunit ribosomal RNA", at positions 28 to 502 of the family's 1533-position model. The record is from RNAcentral.
GAUGAACGCUAGCUACAGGCUUAACACAUGCAAGUCGAGGGGCAGCAUGAACUUAGCUUGCUAAGUUUGAUGGCGACCGGCGCACGGGUGAGUAACACGUAUCCAACCUGCCGAUGACUCGGGGAUAGCCUUUCGAAAGAAGAUUAAUACCCGAUGGCAUAGUUCUUCCGCAUGGUAGAACUAUUAAAGGAUUUCGGUCAUCGAUGGGGAUGCGUUCCAUUAGGUUGUUGGCGGGGUAACGGCCCACCAAGCCUUCGAUGGAUAGGGGUUCGUGAGAGGAAGGUCCCCCACAUUGGAACUGAGACACGGUCCAAACUCCUACGGGAGGCAGCAGUGAGGAAUAUUGGUCAAUGGACGAGAGUCUGAACCAGCCAAGUAGCGUGAAGGAUGACUGCCCUAUGGGUUGUAAACUUCUUUUAUACGGGAAUAAAGUGAGGCACGUGUGCCUUUUUGUUAUGUACCGUAUGAAUAAGGAUCGGCUAACU